UUGCAUUCAUCUUUCACUUAGAACAUAUCUGUAUUUUUACAGACUCUGUGUGCUGAUGACCACACCUAUGCCAAAGGAGCCGAGGCACAAAUUGAGGUAGAAAGGAUACCGCCAAUCUUACAGAUGCAGAGGAGAGGAGAGUACCCUCGUUACUACUGUGAUGGCAUACCUGGACUUUGCCCUGAGUGCCAACAUUGAAUUCAAAGAAAAUAUAAGUUGCUUUCCACAAUCUGUCACAUAUUGUUAGUUUUUUUUGUGACAUGCCAUUUGAAAUCGUUUCUGAUAAAGAAUAUUUACCUUUUGA
Molecule: long non-coding RNA, 304 nt
Organism: Cyprinodon tularosa
Lineage: Eukaryota; Metazoa; Chordata; Actinopteri; Cyprinodontiformes; Cyprinodontidae
Exons: 3
Source: RefSeq, a predicted model, not a curated record